GUCGCUGCCCUCAGUUACCUGGAUCACCCCACGCUCUGUGGUCCCGGCCGGCGUGUCGCUGCGCUCCAGCCGCAUGCCGAGAAUCCGCGUGGCGGCCCGCGGCUCUGCCAACGCCGCCUCGGCCCGGACGCCCGCCGCAAGCCGUGGCCCAAUGGUUAAGCUCAUCACCUGCCACUGUGGGGGACCUAGGUUCAAGACUCUGACCGGACCAUCUGCCAACAUCCCCAGACUCACGGCUGUGGUGUCCUUGAGCAAGACACUGAUACCCUGAAAUGCUUCAGCUGCCCCCUGCUCCAGUGUGUUCCACUAACAUGUGAAUGUGUUCACUGUGAUGGGUUAAAUGCAGAGAACAAAUUUGUGUGCCUGCAUUGCAUGCAUGUUCAUGACAAUAAAAGGUGAUUCUUCUUCUUAUAAAA
Molecule: long non-coding RNA, 416 nt
Organism: Phyllopteryx taeniolatus (common seadragon)
Lineage: Eukaryota; Metazoa; Chordata; Actinopteri; Syngnathiformes; Syngnathidae
Exons: 2
Source: RefSeq, a predicted model, not a curated record